This 499-nucleotide ribosomal RNA is filed under the name uncultured bacterium. RNAcentral describes it as "bacterial SSU rRNA". It matches the Rfam family "Bacterial small subunit ribosomal RNA", at positions 15 to 507 of the family's 1533-position model. The record is from RNAcentral.
GAUCAUGGCUCAGGAUGAACGCUAGCGGCAGGCCUAACACAUGCAAGUCGAGGGGCAGCACGAUAAAGCUUGCUUUAUUGGUGGCGACCGGCGCACGGGUGCGUAACGCGUAUGCAACCUACCCUGUACUGGGGGAUAACCCGGAGAAAUUCGGACUAACACCCCAUAGUAAUAUACUUUCGCAUGUUAGUAUAUUUAAAGGUUACGGUACAGGAUGGGCAUGCGUCCUAUUAGCUAGAUGGUGAGGUAACGGCUCACCAUGGCGAUGAUAGGUAGGGGGCCUGAGAGGGUGGUCCCCCACACUGGUACUGAGACACGGACCAGACUCCUACGGGAGGCAGCAGUGAGGAAUAUUGGUCAAUGGGCGCAAGCCUGAACCAGCCAUGCCGCGUGCAGGAAGAAUGCCCUAUGGGUUGUAAACUGCUUUUAUUUGGGAAUAAACCUCUUUACGUGUAGAGAGCUGAAGGUACCAAAUGAAUAAGCACCGGCUAACUCCGUG